RNAcentral lists this ribosomal RNA (132 nucleotides) under uncultured bacterium. RNAcentral describes it as "partial 16S ribosomal RNA". It matches the Rfam family "Bacterial small subunit ribosomal RNA", at positions 338 to 487 of the family's 1533-position model. The record is from RNAcentral.
CCUACGGGAGGCAGCAGUGGGGAAUCUUGGACAAUGGGCGCAAGCCUGAUCCAGCCAUGCCGCGUGAGUGAUGAAGGCCUUAGGGUCGUAAAGCUCUUUCGCCAGAGAUGAUAAUGACAGUAUCUGUAAGAC